CGGGAGGGGGUCCGGCUGGAAAACCUCAGCCCUGCAAGUGUGACAUCACCGCGGGCCGGUGUGACACCCCCCGAGAGUGGGCCGCGCGCGGGGAGGCGGGGCGCCCCGGGCAGCCCCCCUGCUGGGGAGGAGGUCCCUCCGCUGGGGCUUCCCGGUUUCGUGGCCGCCUACGGGCGUUCAAUUGGCGCCGGGUUCGGUGCACGGAGCGCCCGCAGGGGGCUCCCCGUGGCCGCCGGGGACCUGUGCGUGCACUGGGAGGUGAGGAGGCAGAGCUGUGCUCGGACCAACCCCUCCAGACCGGCGGCGAGCGGAAGCUGUGCCCUCAUUUUCUUGCCUCCACCCGGAGCGCCAGGCUGGGUAUCGGGGAGACGGAAGGCGUGGGGCACCCACCGCGCGGAGGAAACGGGCUGCGUGAGAACUGGCUGCCCCGGUGCCAGGACCGACGCCAUCUCCCGGGGCCUGAGCUUCCGCGGGACUGACUGCACCGCCCACAGUGCUAGAGGCUGCAUGGUCUGAGCCCUGGAAAGGGGCUGCCCAGCACCCUGGGCACCUGCGCAGACUCCCCGAGAGAUUCUGCCGGCAGCCUCUCUUCCUCGGUCUCACUUAUGCAUCCCUGGCCUCCUGGGAUCCCCAUCUGCCCACACCAAAAAAGAUCAUUUUUGUGACGAUGUGC
Long non-coding RNA from Myotis lucifugus (little brown bat), 673 nucleotides. RefSeq lists it as uncharacterized. The transcript has 2 exons. Lineage: Eukaryota; Metazoa; Chordata; Mammalia; Chiroptera; Vespertilionidae. The record is from RefSeq and is a predicted model, not a curated record.